CUUCUAUUCUGGGAGGAGACUAGCCCCACCCUACAGUGAGGUCACAUUGCCCACCCCCUCCUACCCUCUUUUUCUGUAUGUUCUCUUUGUCUCUGGAGGAGGAGGAAGAGAUCACCCAUCUCCCUGUUCCUUUGACUGUGGAGGGUGGGGUGAGCAUCUUAAGAUCUGCCUGUCUCUCACCCUCUCCCAUUCCCCUUCCCCUGGACACCCCAUCCUCCAGACUGAGCGAUCCUGAGGGUCCUGCUACUGCCUAAGAGGCUGGGUGUGAGCACCUGGCGAAUGGGUCUUUUUCAUGUGCCUUGUUGCGGAACAGAAAGAGAGGACUGUCCCUGACCCUGCGGAUCUCCAUGAUUUACAGACUGAAAGAAGAGAGCUGUUUUCAGGGAUGAAAAGAAAAGUGAGCAGAACUGAUUGAAGCAUUCGAGCAGUGGUGUGCAAUGUGUAACUCCUGUGGACCUAUCACCUCCUGGAUGGGGUCCUCCUCCCAGACACUUGAGCCCACCCAACAUCAAGAUACUUGGGGAGUUCCUAACUCAGGCAGGGCAACUCAGGUUUUUCCUCAGGAUGGGUGGUGUACUUAGAAAGGGCUAAGCACUUGCAGAAGCUCAGUGUACUGAGAAUGAGCCCUUUUCCUACCCUUCCCUGCCUCAAGCCAGCCUCCUGAGCAGUGGCUUGGCAACAGUCUUCUGGGAUCUCUGAAUCUCUCUUCUAGAGGGCUUAGGGUUAGAACACCAGGCUUGGAAUUAGGAAGAUCUGAGUUCAAAUCCAGCCUGUGGCACUUAUUAGCUGUGUGACCUUUGACAAGGGCAAGUCAGAGUGUUUGAUGUCCAGCACUCUUUCAUCUUUCUGCCUCCUCAGUAAGACUGACAUCCCAUCUGAAUGUGUCUAUGAUCUUACAGAGCUGUCUGGGGGCACUAAGAGGUUAGGUGACUUGAUUGUGGUCAUGCUGUUAGCAUGAGUCUGAAGCAGGGCUCAGUCUCUGAGCCUUCCUGACUCUGCAGCUGGCCCUCUCUCCUUAGGCCUCAGAGGAUCUCCCUCUUUCAUCCAGACACAGUUCAAGCAUCACCUCUUCCAUGAAGCCUUUCUUGAUCCCAAUUUCUAGUGGCCUUGCUCCCAGACUGCCUUGUAUUUUGACUUGAUUUGUAUUUAUUCUCUAUACCCUUUAAUGUAUUCUCUGUCUCAUAAGAAGGUAAGCUUCUAGUGCUUAGGGAUUGUGCCCUACUGAGUGUUUGCUUCUCCAGGGCCUAGCACAGUGCCUGUAAAACAGUAGGUACUGAAGGAGUGCUUGUUGAUUGCUUAAUUGGCCCCCUGUCUUUCCAUAUGCCCAGAACGUAGGAGGAGCUUAAUCUAUAGGCAUCCAAUGAAUAAAUGAAUGAAUUGGAGGUCUAAGAGUAAUUAUUAAUGAUUAUAUUGAUUUCUAUUAGUUAUAACUCUAAUUUAUGAUUUUGUAAUUUUAUUAUUUUAUUCAUUGUAUUUGAUUUGCAUAUCCAGUUAUAGUUUAAUUUAAUAUGUGGUGUGAGGUAUUGAUCUCCUGUCAAAUUUGUCCCAAACUGCUUUCCACUUAUGCCCUCUGUUUUGUUUUUAUCCAUUACAGGAAGUUCAUGCUUUGCAGAAGAGAACCCUUGGGAAACCUCUGAGUAGAGUGACAUUGAAGUCAUUUGAAGUUGCCCAUGGAGUUGGCUACAAGGGAGGGAGGGAGACAGGAAGGGGAUGAGGUGCCUGUGAAGGAACAGGAACAAGAGAUAGGUCCAGGCCUAUCUCUGUCUGGGGACAGAGAAGGAAAAACAAGAGGAGGAUCAGGUGUGUGACAGGGCCAGCCGCUUGAUGGCCUAGCCAGAACUGAGAGGAAGCAUACACAGGGGAUAGACACUUGGAGAUGGGACCUGGUCUCAUACAGGAGAGGACAGGCGACAUGGGGACCAAAGAAAGACAUACAGUACCCAAGCUCGGGUGAACAGAAGACAGACACGUGGAUGCCAGACACCUGGCUAAAUGGGUAGAGCAGCCAACAGUCUGCUCUCAUGGCACUGGAGGUCUCAAACCAAGCCCUGAUGCUGAUGCUGCAGUGGUGGAAGGAGUCACUCUGCACGUCCAACGUCCCUUUCUUUCCAACUUCCUGUGUCUCCAUUAAUCCCCUUUAGAUCCUUGACCUCAUUUAAAAACUGCUCAAUGAUGUUUUCUACUUCUUACAUCCUGGGAUCCCAUGUAACCCUCCCUCUCCCUCUCCUCCUCCCUGAGAGCCAUGCCAUGUGACAAAAGAAUGGUGUUUUUUGUUUUAGGAGGGAAACAAAUUCAACACAAGAGUGGGAGACAAUCUUUCUGGGAACAGUCCAGUUACUACAGGCUCACCAUCUGCUGAGGCACACCUAAUCUGAGAACACUGAACAAAUAAAAUCCUGCUGGCUGCUGACACACGCUCUGAACACUCAGAGGAAAAGACUUUUGUGGUAGAAGACACACUUUCUGAGAACAUUCUGGUGUAAGAGAGAAACUGGGAAGUCUUCGUGGGCAAAGAAAUCAGCCCUUAGGAGAAACAUAGGUGGGGUAUACAGUUCACCCAGUGUGGCCUGAGACUCCACCUUUGUUUCUCUGAAGAAAGGUUGUUUUCUUUGCUCAGGAAGGCUUCCCAGUCUCUCUCUUACACUACUUACUACAGGCUUGCUUUCUAUGAAAAAACAUCCAGCCUCAGAACACUCAGAGGAAAAGAUACUUGUGGCAAGAGACACUCUCUGGGAACAGUCCAGUUACUACAGGCUCACUCGCUGUGGAAGCACAUCUAGCCUCAGAAUACUCAGUGGAUGAAAUGCUUAUAGGUGGAGACACACGCUCUGAGAACAAUCUACUUACUACACGUUCCCCCUCUGUGGCAACACAUCGAGGGAAAACAGAGGCCAUAGAAGCAUUCCUGAUGAAAAGACAUGAGGAGGGAAACAAAUUCAACACAAGAGUGGGAGACAAUCUUUCUGGGAACAGUCCAGUUACUACAGGCUAACUCUCUGCGGAAGCACAUCGAAUCUCAGAACACUGAACAAAUGAAAUGCUGAUGGGUGGUGACACACGCUCUGAACACUCAGAGGAAAAGACAAUUGUGGCAGAAGACACACUUUCUGAGAACAUUCUGGUGUAAGAGAGAAACUGGGAAGUCUUUGUGGGCAAAGAAAUCAGCCCUUAGGAGAAACAUAGGUGGGGUAUACAGUUCACCCAGUGUGGCCUGAGACCCCACCUUUGUUUCUCUGAAGAAAGGUUGGUUUCUUUGCUCAGGAAGGCUUCCCAGUCUCUCUCUUACACCACUUACCACAGGCUUGCUUUCUAUGAAAAAACAUCCAGCCUCAGAACACUCAGAGGAAAAGAUACUUGUGGCAGGAGACACUCUCUGGGAACAGUCCAGUUACUACAGGCUCACUCUCUGUGGAAGCACAUCUAGCCUCAGAAUACUCAGUGGAUGAAAUGCUUAUAGGUGGAGACACACUCUCUGAGAACAAUCUACUCUCUGUGGCAACACAUCGAGGGAAAACAGAGGCCAUAGAAGCAUUCCUGAUGAAAAGACAUGAGGUGAGUUGAAAAUGUGACUUUCAAAUACAAGACACAAAAGAAGCAUUAAAAGGGAAAUGUGACUGAGAAAACAGAAACAACUCAAUAAGGUUAAACUGGACACUUUUCCAUAAAGGGAGAUGAUACAUAUAUCUGCUCAGAAUUUUAUCAUUAUUGGAGCAGGUAGAAGGACUCUACUUCAUAGAGAGUUUGAGCAUAAGCCAGUUAGCUAGGGAUGAUGUAAAAUAAAUGGAUAGGCAAGAAAUAUGGAUGCCCUGGGAGAAGAUAGAAGGCAGAGAAAGAAUGGGGGAAAUGAUCUCACAUACAAUAGGUGUGCAAGGAAGAUCUUUUACUGAGGAGAGGAAAAUGGUGGUGGUGAGGAGGCCAGUGCUUGAACACCCCAUCAAAAUGGGUACAAAAAGGGGAAUUCAUAUACAUAUAUUUAUAUAUGAGUAUAUAUUUAUAUAUGAAUGACUUAAUUGGUCAGAAACAUUUAUCUUACUCCAUAGAUAAUUAGUAGUAAGGGAAAAGAGAAGGAAAAAUGGGGGAUAAAAGGUUGGGCAGCUAAAAGAAGGCAGUGGUCAUAUGGAAAACCGGCAUUAGAGGAAGGACAGGAGGAACAGAAAGAGAAGAAAAUGGGAUGCAGGAAAAUGCAUAGUUAGUCAUCAAAUCUGUGUGAAUGGGAUGAACUCACUCAUAACCUGGAAGGGGGCAGCAAAAUGGAUUAUGAGCCAGAAUACAACAAUAUGUUUUGUUUUACAAGGAAUUUCUUGAGCCAGAGAGAAUCACAGAAUUAAAAUAGGGGGCUGGAACAGAAACCUUGUACUACUCAGCUGAAGGAAAAAAGGCAGGGGUAGCAUUCAUAAUCUCAGACAAUGUAAAAGCAAUAAUACCCCCAUUGAACGGAUUAAGCAGGGAAACUAAAUCUUGUUCAAAGGAACCAUAGACAGUGGAGUAAUUUCAACAGUGAAUAGAGAUAUGGGAAGUGGUACAGCAUUCCCAUUCUUAAAGGAAAAGUCAAAUAAUUACAGGAGGAAAUAGACAGAAAAUUCUAGUAAUGGGGGAUGUCAGCGUUUCCCUGUGAGAGCUAGAUGAAUCUAUUCAUAAAAUCUGAAAGAAGUCAGGAAGAUGAAGAGAAUCUUAGAAAACUCAGCUAUGAGAGACUUCUGGAAAAAACCUGAAUGAGAACAGAAAGGAGGCCAGACAGAUGUUACUUUCUGUAAAUUUACAUUAUGCAAAUUGAACUUUAUAGAAGGAAUUCAGAGAGAACUCUGCAUUUCAAAAGCAACCCUAUGUAAACUUUAUAAGACAGUGCUGGGGUCUCUUUGUGCUCCUGCCCUUUGGCUUGGCACUCUGUGGUCUCUUGUAUGCAUGGACCCCACCAGAAAAACAAAGAUACAAACAAACCUUAAAGAAAUCCUCCAGGUGAAAGCAGAAGAACAGAUCUGCAGAGAGACAGCCACCACCACUGCUGGAUCAGCGCUUGGCUUGAGACCUCCAGUGCUGAGAGAGGAGACCUUGGUUUGAGGCCACCCACCCACCCCAGAGUUUGGUCUCUGUGUUUUGGUGCUUUGUCCAUCCACGUGGGGUCACUGUGUGUGUCUGUCCCUGGUCCCUGGGUGUCUCCUGUCCUCUCCUGAAUGUUUCCAAGGCUGGCUCGCCUGUGUCUGCCUGCUGGCCUGUUCUUCAUUUCAGUUCGAGCCAGGCCUUCAUGUGGCUGGCUCUGGUAGCUGUGUGGUCGUGCUCCUCCUCUUCCUUCUCUGUCCCCAGCUCGAUGUGUUCUGGAACCCUGGGCUGGCCUCUCCUCCACAGGGCACAGUCCCUUUGUUGUGGGCCCAAAGUUCCCCAGAAGUUCUCUGGGGCACAUUGAGGAAUCUUCUCCUUGAGAAACUAAACCAGAGGGCAGAUAGGCCUAGAGAGAUAAGUGGAACCAAAUCAGAUUGAGGUAGUUUAGGGACCUCCACCCUUCAGUGUGAUCUCCCUUACCCCUGGGGAGAUAAGUUUGGGUGUGGCUGUGGCCUUUGAGUCCUGAAGAGAGCCACCCCUGACCCAAUUCCUCUAAUCACCACCAGUGGGGGAUGGUCCUCCCUCACUAAAGGAACUUUCCACAGACAGAUGGUCCACCACCAUCAGCCCCCUAUAAAGUACCUCCCAGUCUCCUGCUCAAGGAGAUUGGUACCUCUGAGCC
Long non-coding RNA from Dromiciops gliroides (monito del monte), 5719 nucleotides. RefSeq lists it as uncharacterized. Lineage: Eukaryota; Metazoa; Chordata; Mammalia; Microbiotheria; Microbiotheriidae. The transcript has 5 exons. The record is from RefSeq and is a predicted model, not a curated record.